ACCGAGCACAGUGGUGCGUGCCUGUAGUCCCAGCUACUCUGGAGGCUCAGGUGGGAGGAUCCCUUGAGCCCAGGAGUUCUGGGCUGUAGCGCGCUAUGCUGAUCGGGUGUCCACACCAAGUUUGACAUCAAUAUGGUGACUUCCUGGGAGCAGGCGACCACCAGGUUGCCUAAGGAGGGGUGAACCGACCCAGGUCAGAAACAGAGCAGGUCAAAACUCCUGAACUGAUCAGUAGUGGGAUCGUGCCUGUGAACAGCCACUGCACUCCAGCCUGGGCAAUAUAGCUAGACCCUGUCUCU
Molecule: signal recognition particle RNA, 299 nt
Filed under: Saimiri boliviensis boliviensis (Bolivian squirrel monkey)
Lineage: Eukaryota; Metazoa; Chordata; Mammalia; Primates; Cebidae
Description: Metazoan signal recognition particle RNA (ENSSBOG00000006756.1)
Rfam family: Metazoan signal recognition particle RNA
About the family: The signal recognition particle (SRP) is a universally conserved ribonucleoprotein. It is involved in the co-translational targeting of proteins to membranes.
Source: RNAcentral